RNAcentral lists this ribosomal RNA (426 nucleotides) under Candidatus Xiphinematobacter sp. Its description in RNAcentral is "partial 16S ribosomal RNA". It matches the Rfam family "Bacterial small subunit ribosomal RNA", at positions 355 to 774 of the family's 1533-position model. Lineage: Bacteria; Pseudomonadati; Verrucomicrobiota; Spartobacteria. The record is from RNAcentral. RNAcentral also lists the same sequence under 1 other name.
UCGAGAAUUUUUCUCAAUGGGGGAAACCCUGAAGGAGCGACGCCGCGUGGAGGAUGAAGGCUUUCGGGUUGUAAACUCCUGUCAUUUGGGAACAAAGCCUUACGUUAACUGCGUGGAGGUUUGAUAGUACCGAAAGAGGAAGAGACGGCUAACUCUGUGCCAGCAGCCGCGGUAAUACAGAGGUCUCAAGCGUUGUUCGGAUUUAUUGGGCGUAAAGGGCGCGUAGGCGGCGGGGUAAGUCGGGUGUGAAAUCUCAGGGCUCAACCCUGAAACUGCACUUGAUACUGCUCUGCUUGAGGACUGGAGAGGAGACUGGAAUUCACGGUGUAGCAGUGAAAUGCGUAGAUAUCGUGAGGAAGACCAGUGGCGAAGGCGGGUCUCUGGACAGUUCCUGACGCUGAGGCGCGAAGGCCAGGGGAGCAAACG